ACCUCGUUAGCUCAGUUGGUAGAGCGUUGAACUUUCAAUCUAUCGGUCAGGAGUUCGAGUUCCCUACGGUGCU
RNAcentral lists this transfer RNA (73 nucleotides) under Nippostrongylus brasiliensis. It matches the Rfam family "tRNA". From Rfam's summary of the family: Transfer RNA (tRNA) molecules are approximately 80 nucleotides in length. Their secondary structure includes four short double-helical elements and three loops (D, anti-codon, and T loops). Lineage: Eukaryota; Metazoa; Nematoda; Chromadorea; Rhabditida; Heligmosomidae. The record is from Rfam by way of RNAcentral.